This 219-nucleotide unclassified non-coding RNA is filed under the name uncultured Rozellomycota. RNAcentral's name for it is "uncultured Cryptomycota sequence contains ITS2". Lineage: Eukaryota; Fungi; Rozellomycota. The record is from RNAcentral.
ACGUAAUGCGCUUCGGUGCAAUGUGGCCCGUGUGGUGAGCAUGGGGCUGAAAAUGAGCCAGUCAGGCUGGACGGUCCGGCAGUGUGCUAGGGACGGAUGUGUGGAGUGGGAGUGGAUGCGAAUACAGUGCAUUUUUCACUGUGCAACACGCAUGCACUCUUCCCCUCGCAUGCUCACUGUCUUGUCGCUGCCGGCACCAACCAGCCAUCAACUCCAAUA